UGGUCCCACGCGCUAACCUUAUCUCUUUCUCUUUGACUUCUCACGGCAAUCCUUCCCUUGAGCCUGGCAGCGUGGAGCAGGCGCCAAUUCCUCUUCUUUGCCGAUGCAAGCAAGGCGGCGGCGAGCGGCGCGACAGCACGGCCGUGAGCGGCGAGCAAGGCAGCGGCGUGACGACGUGGCCGUGAGGAGCGAGUGAGGCAGCGGCCAGCGGCGCGACAAGCCGAUGACGAGGCCCUGAGCAGUGAGUAGGGCUGCGGCGUGGCUGCUGCCAUGAGUGGCAAGCGGGGCGCGGCAUAGCAGCACUCGUGAGCAGGCAUAGAAGGCAGUCUGCAGGCUGCAGCAGGGCCAGGCUGGGAAUCGCUGCUGCGUGCUACCUACCUGACGCUACUGCUUUUUGCCAAGUUGCUAUUGCUACAAUGUAAAUUCCAUUUCCUGCUAUCUGCUACGUAUUUGUGAUUGAAAUUCCUACGAUGAUCUAUAAAUGGAAUGCGUGUUAUACUUGAAAUUGCACGGGAAUUGAAUAAUUUGCACUGAAAGAUUUGAGACUUGAUAUAGCGGAGCUGUAAAUCCCCUCAAGUGUUAAGAGAAAACAAUUUUAGUUUACAUGCGGACAGUGGUGUAAAGUGAUUUCUUAUAAUCUACUGUUUUAUUUGAGAUUGACUAUAUAAUGC
RNAcentral lists this long non-coding RNA (671 nucleotides) under Setaria italica (foxtail millet). Its description in RNAcentral is "long non-coding RNA (SITA_LNC004651)". Lineage: Eukaryota; Viridiplantae; Streptophyta; Magnoliopsida; Poales; Poaceae. The record is from RNAcentral.